AACGAACGCUGGCGGCAUGCCUAACACAUGCAAGUCGAACGAGACCUUCGGGCUUAGUGGCGCACGGGUGCGUAACGGGUGGGAACCUGCCCAUAGGUCUGGCAUAACUCCCCGAAUGGGGUGCUAAUACCGGAGCUUAUCUUCCGUCCAAAGAGUUAUCGCCAUUGGAGGGGCUCGCGUGGGCUUAGCUUGUUGGUAGGGUAAAAGCGUACCAAGGCGACGAUGGAUAGCUGGUUAGAGAGGAUGGUCAGCCACACUGGGACUGAGACACGGCCCAGAAUCCUACGGGAGGCAGCAGAGGGGGAUAUUGGACAAUGGGCGGAGUCAUGAAGCAGCAAGGCCGGGUGAGCGAUGAAGGCCUUGGGGUAGGAAAGCACGUUUACACGGGAUGGUAUUGACGGUACCGGGAGAAUAAGCACCGGCUAACUCCGUG
Molecule: ribosomal RNA, 433 nt
Filed under: uncultured bacterium
Lineage: Bacteria
Description: partial 16S ribosomal RNA
Rfam family: Bacterial small subunit ribosomal RNA
Source: RNAcentral